AUACCAUGAUAAGGGCACUUACGUAGCAUAAGUUUGAAACACUCCCACACCUCAUAGAGUGUUUCCCAUUCUAGCUGUUGAAAGUUGGUGAUGUCCAUCCUCAGCUU
Gossypium raimondii (Peruvian cotton) is the source of this 107-nucleotide non-coding RNA. The record is from Rfam. NCBI's taxonomy places the organism in Eukaryota, Viridiplantae, Streptophyta, Magnoliopsida, Malvales, Malvaceae.